AUUGAACGCUGGCGGCAGGCCUAACACAUGCAAGUCGAGCGGAUGAAGGGAGCUUGCUCCUGGAUUCAGCGGCGGACGGGUGAGUAAUGCCUAGGAAUCUGCCUUGUCGUGGGGGAUAACGUCCGUACACGGGCGCUAAUACCGCAUCCGUCCUGAUGGAGAACGUGGGGGAUCUUCGGACCUCACGCUAUCAGAUGAGCCUAGGUCGGAUUAGCUAGUUGGUUUGGUAAAGGCCUACCAAGGCGACGAUCCGUAACUGGUCUGAGAGGAUGAUCAGUCACACUGGAACUGAGACACGGUCCAGACUCCUACGGGAGGCAGCAGUGGGGAAUCUUGGACAAUGGGCGAAAGCCUGAUCCAGCAAUGCCGCGUGAGUGAAGAAGGUCUUCGGAUUGUAAAGCACUUUUAGUUGGGAGGAAGGGAAGUAAGUUAAUACCUUGCUGUUUUGACGUUACCAACAGAAUAAGCACCGGCUAACUUCGUG
This 484-nucleotide ribosomal RNA is filed under the name uncultured bacterium. RNAcentral's name for it is "partial 16S ribosomal RNA". It matches the Rfam family "Bacterial small subunit ribosomal RNA", at positions 30 to 507 of the family's 1533-position model. The record is from RNAcentral.